Molecule: long non-coding RNA, 1124 nt
Organism: Carassius gibelio (silver crucian carp)
Lineage: Eukaryota; Metazoa; Chordata; Actinopteri; Cypriniformes; Cyprinidae
Exons: 2
Source: RefSeq, a predicted model, not a curated record
AAGUGGCAGGCUUGUAAAUUCUGUCAUCUGUUCAUUAUUGGUGUUGAUGGUGUUUUUCACAUGCAUGCUUUUUAAUGCUAGUUUAAUUCUCAAAUUGAUCUGAUACUUUCGUUUCACAAAAAGUAAACAAAUUGUUCACUUUCUUAGGGCCUGACAACCACCAGUUGAGUCCAUGAUUCAGGGAAGAGACAGUCUGGGCAGCAGCAACAAGACAACUAUUACAAGUAGAGAUGGGUUUCAAGAACUGGUACUAAUUUGGUUCCUGACUUGUUCGGUACUGAAAAAAUUUACAUAAGCUACAGGAUCAAUAGUGCUGCUAUCAGUAUUCUUGUAACAUUGAUUCAUUACCCUUUAAAAACAACCACAUAUCCUCCAAAUCAUCUCUGCGUGGAUGGCAGCAAGGAUCCAGGAUCAAGAGAUCAUUCUUCAUUGAGACUGUUCCACAGGAAGCAGUUUCUCCUGGGUGAAAAACUAAACCUGGUUGUUUCAGCAUCACUCAGGCAAGACUAAAUACUUUUAAAUUGAUUUCAGUUGGUUAUGUGUUUCAGGUCAUCCUGACCAUUCUGCUGUCCUGGAUGUAAGUCCGUGCAGGAACUACAUUUCUCGUUGUUGAAAGAUUUGUGCAGCGGUAUCCAGACAUAUAACGCCCCAUCACACGGGGCGUCAACGCCUCUCGUUUACUUUUAAAUGAAGUGACGUCAAGGAUGGUGAAAUUAAUUCUAGAAAUUAAUUCUAAAUAGAAGUUGAAGACUUCUCAAGCGCCAAUGCAGCCGUCCUCCAGUCAGAACAUCUUAUGCAAAUACCCAAGCGCAGACGCAAGCCAAUCAAGUGCAUGCAAUACCAGAAAACUAAUGUGAUUGGCUGUCACUAUGAGAAGAGACAGUAAUUCUGAUCCGAUAUCAGUGUCGUUUUUUGCAAGAAAAAAUUUAAAUCAAUGUAGAAUUUUCUAUACUUCUGUGUAGGGAUGUCAAUUUUCAAUCAUUUCCAUGAUUGAUCGUCGUUUAAAUUAAUGAUCAAAUAAUCGAUUAAUCGUUAACCUUAAUGCUGCAAAGUCUAUUGCAGUAACACCCAGUCACUGGUAUGACAGGAUGUGCAAAAGUGUGUGUGUGUGUGUGUGUGUGUAU